RNAcentral lists this microRNA precursor (100 nucleotides) under Caenorhabditis japonica. RNAcentral describes it as "pre miRNA CJA48972". The stretch from base 14 to 83 matches the Rfam family "mir-239 microRNA precursor family". Lineage: Eukaryota; Metazoa; Nematoda; Chromadorea; Rhabditida; Rhabditidae. The record is from RNAcentral.
UGGGUGCGCUUGACAAUUUUUGUACUACACAAAAGUUCUGUUCAGCUUCUAUGUACAGCUCGUUUGUCCAGUGCAAAAAUGGUUGAGCUGGCACUGUUUU